RNAcentral lists this ribosomal RNA (252 nucleotides) under Muribaculum intestinale. Its description in RNAcentral is "partial 16S ribosomal RNA". It matches the Rfam family "Bacterial small subunit ribosomal RNA", at positions 524 to 776 of the family's 1533-position model. Lineage: Bacteria; Pseudomonadati; Bacteroidota; Bacteroidia; Bacteroidales; Muribaculaceae. The record is from RNAcentral.
UACGGAGGAUGCGAGCGUUAUCCGGAUUUAUUGGGUUUAAAGGGAGCGCAGGCUGCGAGGCAAGUCAGCGGUCAAAUGUCGGGGCUCAACCCCGGUCUGCCGUUGAAACUGUCUUGCUAGAGUUCGAGUGAGGUAUGCGGAAUGCGUUGUGUAGCGGUGAAAUGCAUAGAUAUGACGCAGAACUCCGAUUGCGAAGGCAGCAUACCAACUCGCGACUGACGCUGAGGCUCGAAAGCGUGGGUAUCGAACAGG